RNAcentral lists this long non-coding RNA (530 nucleotides) under Homo sapiens (human). RNAcentral describes it as "non-protein coding lnc-GCK-3:3". Lineage: Eukaryota; Metazoa; Chordata; Mammalia; Primates; Hominidae. The record is from RNAcentral.
CUGUCUCUUCCUGCACUUGGCUGUGGGCACCUUGAGGUGGCCCCUGCCCUGUCACCUUCAUGGUGGUGGGUGCCAGCUGCCAACCCACCAGCACAGUAACAGCUUGGAGGAGCCCCCACUCCCCUACCCCAUCCCUCAGAGCUCCAUGCCAAGGCUUCGGGGGUCCUGUGGAUCUGGGAAUGGCUGCUGGUGGAGGACCUGUGGUCCCUGCUCCUGAGAGGCUGGACAUCUAGAUCACCAGAAGCUGGAGAGAGAGGCUCGGAUCUGCCGCCUUCUGAAGCAUUCCAACAUCGUGCGUCUCCACGACAGCAUCUCCGAGGAGGGCUUCCACUACCUGGUCUUCGAUCUGGUCACUGGUGGGGAGCUCUUUGAAGACAUUGUGGCGAGAGAGUACUACAGCGAGGCUGAUGCCAGUCACUGUAUCCAGCAGAUCCUGGAGGCCGUUCUCCAUUGUCACCAAAUGGGGGUCGUCCACAGAGACCUCAAGCCGGAGAACCUGCUUCUGGCCAGCAAGUGCAAAGGGGCUGCAG